RNAcentral lists this ribosomal RNA (506 nucleotides) under uncultured bacterium. Its description in RNAcentral is "bacterial SSU rRNA". It matches the Rfam family "Bacterial small subunit ribosomal RNA", at positions 28 to 533 of the family's 1533-position model. The record is from RNAcentral.
GACGAACGCUGGCGGCGUGCCUAACACAUGCAAGUCGAGCGGGGUUGAAGCGAGGGGUAACUCGAGUUUCUACCUAGCGGCGGACGGGUGAGUAACGCGUGGGCAACCUGCCUCAAGGACUGGGAUAACAGCUCGAAAGGGCUGCUAAUACCGGAUAAGCCUAUGGCCUCGCAUGGGGCCAUGAGCAAAGGGGAAACCCGCCUUGAGAUGGGCCCGCGUCCCAUCAGCUAGUUGGUGAGGUGAAGGCUCACCAAGGCGACGACGGGUAGCCGGCCUGAGAGGGUGACCGGCCACACUGGGACUGAGACACGGCCCAGACUCCUACGGGGGGCAGCAGUGGGGAAUCUUGCACAAUGGGCGAAAGCCUGAUGCAGCGACGCCGCGUGAGCGAAGAAGGCCUCGGUUGUAAGCUCUGUCUGGAGGGACGGAAGGAAGUAGACGGUACCGUCCGGACGGAAGCCGACGGCUAACUACGUGCCAGCAGCCGCGGUAAUAUCACGUGUACG